AUUGAACGCUGGCGGCAGGCCUAACACAUGCAGGUCGAGCGGUAACAGGAAGAAGCUUGCUUCUUUGCUGACGAGUGGCGGACGGGUGAGUAAUGUCUGGGAAACUGCCUGAUGGAGGGGGAUAACUACUGGAAACGGUAGCUAAUACCGCAUAACGUCGCAAGACCAAAGAGGGGGACCUUCGGGCCUCUUGCCAUCGGAUGUGCCCAGAUGGGAUUAGCUAGUAGGUGGGGUAACGGCUCACCUAGGCGACGAUCCCUAGCUGGUCUGAGAGGAUGACCAGCCACACUGGAACUGAGACACGGUCCAGACUCCUACGGGAGGCAGCAGUGGGGAAUAUUGCACAAUGGGCGCAAGCCUGAUGCAGCCAUGCCGCGUGUAUGAAGAAGGCCUUCGGGUUGUAAAGUACUUUCAGCGGGGAGGAAGGGAGUAAAGUUAAUACCUUUGCUCAUUGACGUUACCCGCAGAAGAAGCACCGGCUAACUCCGUG
This 490-nucleotide ribosomal RNA is filed under the name uncultured bacterium. RNAcentral's name for it is "partial 16S ribosomal RNA". It matches the Rfam family "Bacterial small subunit ribosomal RNA", at positions 30 to 507 of the family's 1533-position model. The record is from RNAcentral.